UACGGGAGGCAGCAGUGGGGAAUUUUGGACAAUGGGGGAAACCCUGAUCCAGCCAUCCCGCGUGUGCGAUGAAGGCCUUCGGGUUGUAAAGCMCUUUUGGCAGGAAARAAACGUCAUGGGCUAAUACCCCGUGAAACUGACGGUCCCUGCCAAAUAACCACCGGCUAACUACGUGCCACCAGCCGCGGUAA
This 191-nucleotide ribosomal RNA is filed under the name uncultured bacterium. RNAcentral's name for it is "partial 16S ribosomal RNA". It matches the Rfam family "Bacterial small subunit ribosomal RNA", at positions 340 to 523 of the family's 1533-position model. The record is from RNAcentral.